CCAACAUACAAAAUCAGCCAACAGAGAACUAAAAUAUGAAGGCCAGGUCAGACAAGACAAACCUGUUUGUGGUAAACUUCAAGAAUGAAAUCUGAGAGCCCUGGUUGUCCCCUUCUCAGAAUAAGGGAGCCUGGACUUUAUCUUCUGAAUUAGUGAGCACGGAGGAGCUGUUGUUACUUGCAUGGAUGUGACUGUGGAGGGAUGGUGCCUUGUUCCUGCUGUCUGUCCCAGAGCAAUGUUUUCUACAGAUUCAAUUUCAGACAUUGUCUGAUGAGUUUCCCAUAAAGAAGAAUUCUUUUCUAGAAUCCUUGCGAAAUACUUAAAUAGUGGCCACCUCAAGGCAUCAAGAUCACGCUGCUCAGGGCCUCAUCCAGCUCGGCCUUGAACACCUCCAGGCAAGAGGCAUCCACAACUUCUCUGAGCAACCUGUGCCAGUAUCUCAUCAACCACACAGUAAAGAAUUUCUUCCUGAUAUCUAAUCUAAACCUUCCCUCUCUCAGUUUAAAAUCCUUGUCCUAUCACUAUACGCCUGUAUAAAAAGUUCCUGUCCCUCAUUUUUAUUAGCUCCCUUAAGGUACUGAAAGGCUGCAAUGAAAUGUCCCCAACACCUUCUCUUCUCCAGGCAGAACAACCCCAGCUCUCUCAGCCUGUCUCCCUAGGAUAUAUGCUCCAGCCCUCCGAUCAUGCCAAUGAUCAUUGCCAUUUAUCUAGACACAAUCCACCAAUAGAAACAUUUUAAAUACUAUUUACAGUUCAGAAAACUAUAGCAUGACACAGAGAUUUUAAUAAGAUUUCAGUCAGGCAACAAAUAUGCAGAAGCUGAAGCAGGGGUGUUGAAUUUAAAAGAAGCCUGAGCAAUUUUGUGCUAUUACCAUGCUGUGGAAAUCUCAGUAAGAUUCAAAUGGUAAAAUAUAUUUUCCAUACAUUAUACAUGCACACACAAUGUGCAAUUUUCCAAAACUUGAGCAUCCACACUUUUCAAGGGAAAAAAAAAUGCACACAUGUUCUGGCUUUACCUAUGGUGAAGCAGAUCCAGACUAUUCACCACAAUAUAUUAAAUCGUGCAGCAAACCUUCCCCGCACUUUGUGGCAUGCAGAGGAAGUGCUUCCUUUCCUGCCACCUAAGAAGGCUGACACACAGCAUUCAGGGGCACCACACAGACUCCUGUGAGUAAAGAAACGUAACUAUUUACUAAUGCUGUUCUCAGAUGCUGAGGAAGAGGAAAUAAAAGCCAAUUACUGGGGAUAUUAAGCAUCUGGGCAAUGAGAGGUAUGUUUUUCAUCAUCCUAUGUUACAGUUUCUGCUUCAGAACUCCUCUCCUCUGUGGACUGCACAGUUCUUUGCAAACUUUAUUACGGCUCAGAAAACCUUCUCUCUAUGUUAGGCCUUCUGUUAUUUUUCCACCUAAGAUAUAGGGGACUUUUCUAAGGUCACACAAAUGACACUGGUUAAAUUAAAGGUGUUGGUGGCAAACUGAUUGAGUUUAAUAGGUGGAAGACUGCGGCAACCACCAAACAUUUACUGUCUUCUCAGCUUCUCUGUCCUCAGCCAAAAAGCAAAGGGAGCUACUGCAAACAAAAUAAUAGUGUCUACAGCAAAAUCCACAUCAGCUUAACUAGGUAACUUUUGAAAUACCUCAUCUUAAUGAUUUCAACCAAUUACUUCUUUAUUUUAUAUUUCAAAUAGUCUGUUACUUUCCUGACACAUGUAUUGGUAAAGAGUAAAUUAAGGCAACAGCUAUAAAAUUAAAAUUAUAUAUGAUCAGCACAACAUAUUAGUGUUACUACCAGCACUGGAGUUCUCCAAACCAAUAAAGCAUAAAUGUACCAACCCUCUUCCUCCUAUCUUAGCAGUAUACAAGGAGAAGCUCUUCCUAACACCUCUCUAAUUAUAACUGGGUCAUUAAUACAAAGGCUGCAUACGCAUUCACCUGAACUGUAUAUAUAUUAAAGUCUGAUCCAACAUGCACAUAAACAAAUUACUUACCAUAAUGAAUGUAAGACUGAAUGUGGGAGGAACUACAAGUACAUUCAAAUGUUUGGUAGUUAAGACACCCAACAGUAAAGAAAAAGCAUUCCAUUCUCCAAGAGUGUCUAUAUAUUGUUAUGCUACAUCAUCACUGAGAGGUACAAAUCCAGUACACACAAUAAUCAAAUUUCUGGAUCCUUUCCUGUUCCACUUGGACAGCCCCAACCACAAGGCCAGUGUCUGACUGUGUCAGGUUGGGCACUUCUGGAGCCAGUGCUGCUCAGCUCCCACAUGUGUGGGGCAGGUUUUACAGCAAGGGCAGAAAAGAUGGUUUCCCUUCCCCUUUUUGCACCUGUAAAUGCCCAGUAGUCUGCUCUCCAGAGUCAACUUCAAGGCUGGGAAACUGUGGUUUCCAGUCUCCCCGAAGUGUGAUACGUGUGGACUCUUGAGGAACUCACCUCUUGAGGAAGAAUCAUCAUGUUUUCUUCCAUUUAUCCUCAGAAAGAGCUCUGUUCCCAGGAUUCUCAGUAAACCUAAUUUUCAGCUCCAUCCAGGUAGGUAAACUCUACUGAGGUAAGAAAAACUGACAUAGCCUGUUUAUUCAUUUCCCCCCACUGGCUAGCACUGGUGGCUUCCAGCUCAUUAUUUAAAAGUUUUGCAUAAUUUUCACUGCUUCCCUACUCUUGGACUAAAUUCAGAUAAAAGGCUUCCGUCUCCUUCCAAGGUAAAUUCCUUAAUUUGGAGAUUCUGUGGCCUUACCUAGGUCUGUAAUUGUCUGUUUCUUGUGCAGUCAAAUCUAAGUAAAAUAUUAGAAACUAAGAUUAUUUUCAGCAAAGGCCAGAAAUGAGUAGUUGAAUCAGUCAAGGAAUUGAAGUGUGCUAAACUUAUUCGUAUGUUGUGUUAUGCUAGAAAUCAUGUAAGUAUUAUGAUCCACAAAAGAGAAAUUAGAAUGAGAAAGAGUCUGAUGUAAUUACUAAAGAAUAGAUCCGGAGGCACAUUUUUUAAAAAUUUGAUAAAGACUAUCAGCUUUAAAACUUUAAUUACCAGGGAAAUUCAGGUACAUGAACAGAAGAGGAAUGGAAGAGUAUUGUAGGCUUAUACAUGUGGAUAUGUAGUAGCUGGUUUACACUGGCACAGCUUGCUUUUGCUUGAAAGUGAGCCACUGGCACCCGAAAAAGUCAGAGCUGCUUAUAAAAAUAUAUAUUAAAAAAACCGAUAUUCAAAAUGCUUGAGCAAAUCCCUAGGGCAGACAGAGCUAAAGUCUAAAUGUCAGUGCUCUUUUGGAGACAAGAUCAACCUAUAACCUUAUCAGAACACAAAUUAUGUCAGUGAACAACAUCCAAAACCUGCAGAGGCAUUUGAGAGAUUUUUGGCAUUCUAAUUUAUAGAUUUCAGUUGUUGUUUCCUAACUUUCAGGCUGCUCAGAAAAAGACAGUUUUUUCUUUAGUUCAUUUUUUUUUAAUUGGUUACAAAAGUCCUGGAAAUCUAUCACAUUUAUCCUUGUGCAUUUUGAUGAUGCAUAAUACUGAUUAGGAAGUGUCUCAGCUGGUAAUAAGCUCCCUUCAUAAUUUUUUUUUUUCAAAUGCUGUUUUUAUGCAGUUCAUACAGGAAUCCAAUUAGCAUAUCAUUGUGACUGAUUAAAUAUGCCUCAUGUAAAUUUACAUGUCAAAAUACAUACUGUACUUAAACAAACAGACAAGGAUGCCAGUCUUCUGUAAACAGCUUUGCAUUCAUAAGCUAACUCAGGAACACAAAAGCUUAUAUUUAAAUUCUCAAUGACUACCUGAAUAGAGUGAAAGGGAGAUAGAAAGGUAAUGUUACUCAUGCAUGAAGUGAGAGAAUGAAUAUAGACAUUUGUUUCUCUUUGUCUCUGAAGAAAACUAUUGACAAGAGAUUCCCCAUCUGCAUAUGAGGCUGUCACGUCAGAUUAGCUCAUCAGGUAAUGGAAAUUUGGCCUCUGAUCCAGAAAAGGUCCCUAUGCACUAAGAAUCAAGACUGUUUCAAAGAGAUUGUAUUAUCUUAGACAGCAGGAUUAAAUUAAUAUGGGAAUGACUUCUACUGGAGGAAAUUUUUUGUUAAACGUGUUAAUGUUUAUUAUGCAGAGCAUCCACUUCUCAUAAGUGAUCUUUCUUGACAUUUAUUCAUUACUUUUUGACCUUCCCUGCAACUGAAAAACAAACAAGUAAGUGGACCCCCUCCGAAGCAUGGAGCCAAGACCUCUAAAGAUGCAUUCAUGCUAGCACAACCUACGAAACAGUGGAAGAAACUAUGCUGUUGUCAGAUAUGAUCCCCCAAAAGUGGAAAAAAUUCUUGGGGUCAUUCAAUAAGGACUGAACUCAUAGGUGGAUGUUGUAGCUACUCUCCUUAACCAGCAAAGAGAAGAAUUCAGUUUCAAUUCUUUUCUCAAUGAAUAGUUCACUAAUUUACAUUAAAUAUAUGACAAAAGGAAGAACUUGGAGAUGAUUCAGAUGACUCAUCAGACUGCUACAGUGCAGUGUUCCCUUUGCUCUCACGUGCUUCAGGUCAGUGAAUGUUCAAUUAUUCCAUGCAAAGCCUAACAGCUGCUGCAGGAGGGGUUGAAAAUCUCCUCCCAGGACUUUACUAGCAUUGUGAUUAAAGGUAUAGGUUCAAACCUGCAAAGGCACAGCAAAACAGUCAAUUCAUAUAUUCAUCCUGACCAAGUGCAUUUCUGAUAACAGACUGAGAUUUCAUCCAUAGAAAUGAAUCAGGAAGAACUGAUUAUAUAGAUUUGCAUCGUUGUUUGUAGUACAGCCCAGAGGGAAUAAACACACCAGGAGGAGUAUCAAGUAGUUGUAGAGCAAAGGUAUGUGUGUAUGACUAGAUAUAUUCAACAAACAAUUCAAGUGGAAGUCCAGUGUUUUUGAUGGAAAUCAGAUGAGGCUACCACUGAGCAUGGCAGGAAAAAAAAGGCCACCUUAGCCCUGACUUUAAUGAUGUCUCACAUGUAAAUAAAAUGUGGUUAAUUUGAUCCCUCUAUCUCCUUCUGAUUUCACACAAACCAGAACAGGGAAGGGAAGAACAAAGCAUAGCAUGGAGAUAUUUUCUGCACAGCAAAGGUGUGUCUCCUAAGGGUGAGAUAAUCUAUCCAACUGCAUGUACUUAUUACUUCAUCUUAUGUGUAUUGUAGCACAGAGAGAUGAACUACAUAAAUCACAUGAGAGUCUGAAAUAAGAAAUGUAAUUGAGAGGCAUUUCAAAAUAAAUGUAGGAGGUUGAAAUAGUGAAAUAAUAGAAAUAUCUGGACAAUAAAAUGACAUCUUGAUAUUGAAAUUACAAAAAGCACAGGUCUCAUACAGUACAAAAUAAUUUAUAUGUGUCUGUGGUUGUUAUUGAUUCCAUAUACUGUUUCUGUUACUUCAUUUAAUAUAUAUUUUAAAAUUAGAACAGAUUUCUGCAUUUUCCAGUAUCUAAAAUCAGCAAUUUAGAAAGUUUCUUUGACAUAUUUAAUAUUGAAAUAAUUAAAUUCUGUUUAUUUUUUAACCCAAAUGUGCUAAAAUGUUUUUAACAAUUUUCAAUCUACAUCACAAGCUUCAGUCUAUACUAAAAAGAAUCUGAAUUGUGAAUCUACUAAAACAAGUUGAAAACAGAAAUUGUUUAGCUCUAACCGCUGUAGAAGGGAUAAUGUUAUAACACUAAUAGUAAUAAGUGAAGUAAAAUUUUCAAAUACUAUGGCAAGAAGAAAACUGUUAUUUUAGUAGACUCAAAUCAGCUACUUAUCCAUUUAUUUCAUCUUUGCUGGAAACCAGGUACAGAUGCUUAAUAAAAGUACAAACCAUUAUUACUGGAAAAUCACAGGGAAAAAAAAUCACCUGAAGAAAACUUUUUGCUUUUUUAACUUCCUAAAAUUUAAGGAUAUUCCUUUAUGAAACUUCAUCACUAUUUAAUAUCAAGCAACUAUCAAUGUUUUCAUUAUUGACAGAAAGCCAUAAAUGAGCUCUUAUUGAGAUAAUUAUUUUCAUUCUCUCAGCCUUGUUUAACUUGCAAUCUGAAAUGUGUCUCUCACAGUUUGUGCAGAAAAGUCAAGGAACACUAAUACACAUAAUAAACACUUAAUAAACAUAGCCAGCAUUUUUGGUGCUUAUAACUGAGAAGCAUUAAAGUGCCAGGGCAUCAGAUUCAGAGGAAGGUAUGGGUGGAAUUCAGUUCUGAAAUUAAGGCAUCUAAACCUAAAUGUCUGCAGAGACAUGCUGAUAUAUCAGCUGGUUGCAUAAGCUCCCAAUGUAGUUAAUAAAGGCCAGAAAAAUGAUGGAAUAUAUCAGUAAAUAUCCUUAAUAAAAACAGAUUUUGUUUUUGUUUAUUGAGGGAAAAAUUCCACUAUUACGUAUACAUGCUGUGAAAAAGAAGCAUAAAUAGACAAUUUUCUAGAGGGGUUUACUCUUUCACAAUAGUGUGCAAUUGCACAACAUAUGGAUAAAAGAGAUGUCAUUUCAGUUUAUCUACAAUCAUGAUUUAGCUUACUGUCUGUAAAAGAGAAAUUUAAAAAAACCCACUUCAUUGGAGAAAAACAUCUUUCACUUGUUAAUAAAGCUGUAUAAGUUGUAUAAGAUUUAACUCAGUGCCAUAAGAGUCAUACUAUGUAGUUUUCAGAGAACGUAUAAAUUUUUCAGCUGGUGACUUUCAGACUCCAUUUGCCUGUAAUAGGGAGAUGAUUCAGUCACAAUUCAACCAACAAUGCAUGUAAUAUUGUCUCUAUUAAAGCUGAGAAAAAGCACAAGAAAAUACUAAAAAAUUGAAAAUCACAUUGAGUAAAAGCAACAAAUAUCACAUCUGCGAUU
This is a long non-coding RNA of Corvus hawaiiensis (hawaiian crow), 6764 nucleotides long. RefSeq lists it as uncharacterized. The record is from RefSeq and is a predicted model, not a curated record. NCBI's taxonomy places the organism in Eukaryota, Metazoa, Chordata, Aves, Passeriformes, Corvidae. The transcript has 3 exons.